CGUGAGCGGCGGACGGGUGAGUAACGCGUGGGUAACCUGCCUCAUACAGGGGGAUAACAGUUAGAAAUGACUGCUAAUACCGCAUAAGCGCACAGUACCACAUGGUACGGUGUGAAAAACUCCGGUGGUAUGAGAUGGACCCGCGUCUGAUUAGCUAGUUGGUGGGGUAACGGCCCACCUAGUCAACGAUGGAUAGGGGUUCUGAGAGGAAGGUCCCCCACAUUGGAACUGAGACACGGUCCAA
RNAcentral lists this ribosomal RNA (244 nucleotides) under uncultured bacterium. RNAcentral's name for it is "partial 16S ribosomal RNA". It matches the Rfam family "Bacterial small subunit ribosomal RNA", at positions 90 to 334 of the family's 1533-position model. The record is from RNAcentral.